Molecule: ribosomal RNA, 331 nt
Filed under: uncultured bacterium
Lineage: Bacteria
Description: bacterial SSU rRNA
Rfam family: Bacterial small subunit ribosomal RNA
Source: RNAcentral
GAUGAACGCUAGCUACAGGCUUAACACAUGCAAGUCGAGGGGCAGCACAAGGUAGCAAUACUGAAGUGGCGACCGGCGCACGGGUGAGUAACACGUAUCCAACCUACCAUUUACUCUUGGAUAGCCUUCUGAAAAAGGAGAUUAAUACAAGAUGGCAUUAUGAGAUUUCAUGAUCACAUAAUUAAAGAAUUUCGGUAAAUGAUGGGGAUGCGUUCCAUUAGAUAGUAGGCGGGGUAACGCCCACUAGUCUACGAUGGAUAGGGGUUCUGAGAGGAAGGUCCCCCAUACUGGUACUGAGACACGGACCAGACUCCUACGGGAGCAGCAGUGA